Non-coding RNA from Pelobates cultripes (western spadefoot toad), 635 nucleotides. Lineage: Eukaryota; Metazoa; Chordata; Amphibia; Anura; Pelobatidae. The record is from the annotation of a GenBank genome assembly.
GCAUGAUGCCUUUGUGACAUCUAGGGAGGAUGCUAGUGAAGAUUAUUGUUACUGAAAUUAUUCCCCGGUAUUGCUGCCCUCUGCAGAUUGGCUCUGAUAAUGGCCCGGUUUUUGCAAGUGGGGUUGCCCAGGAACUUGCUAAAUUCUUGCAAGUUACCUGGCAGUUUCAUAUACCCUAUCAUCCACAGAAUACAGGGGUAGUUGAAAGGAUGAAUAGGACUAUUAAGGAAAAGCCCAGAAUUUACCCAGGAACAUGGGUAAAUUGGACUAGAUAUCUACCAGCUAUUUUAGCUGAGAUAAGAAUGAAUCCCCACAAGGUGACUAAAUUAUCUCCAUUUGAGAUUUUGAUGGGAUGACCUUUUCCCACACCCUGGGCCAGGGAACCGCUUGUUAUAAUGUCUGGGGAUUUACAGCUUAUACAAGAACAAUAUGUACAGGAAUUGUUGAUAAAACCGAAUGGUAUGUAUGACAAUGUUUCUUCGCAGUUUUCCCUUACCUUCACAGGAACCUACUCAUUCAUACCAGCCCGGUGACAAGGUGUAUAUCCGUCAGUUGAACAGGACCAAGAAAGGAGGAUACCCUUUUGGACCACCUGCUACUGUGAUUGCUGUACCCAGAACCGCUGUCCACAGAUU